CUUGAAAAGUUAUAAAUUUUUUUAUUUAUCCCUCUUAGAAAAUUAAUACAAAAAAUAUCUUUUUAACAUUUCAAGUUCUUUCAAAUAUAUGUUUAGAGUUGGAUCCUAUUAGUGAACUAUUAGAAACAGCCGUUAUCUCUGUAAAAUUAUUAUUUUACACUUUCAAAUAUAUUUUUGUUUGCUCUUAAGUUAGGAAAAAAAGAGAUAUUUUCACUUUUUUUAACUCCGGUAGAAAUCUAAUCCGUAUUUAAUCCAACAUGACUUAACAGAUACUAAGAACGAAAUUAUUUUUGAAUAAUGAAAAAAUAUACGAGAGGCAUAUUUAAAA
RNAcentral lists this long non-coding RNA (328 nucleotides) under Ananas comosus (pineapple). RNAcentral describes it as "long non-coding RNA (ACOM_LNC041324)". The record is from RNAcentral. Lineage: Eukaryota; Viridiplantae; Streptophyta; Magnoliopsida; Poales; Bromeliaceae.